RNAcentral lists this transfer RNA (76 nucleotides) under Clostridia bacterium. Its description in RNAcentral is "tRNA-Pro". It matches the Rfam family "tRNA". From Rfam's summary of the family: Transfer RNA (tRNA) molecules are approximately 80 nucleotides in length. Lineage: Bacteria; Bacillati; Bacillota; Clostridia. The record is from RNAcentral.
CGAGGUGUAACUCAGGUGGUAGAGUGCUUGGUUUGGGACCAAGAUGCCGCAGGUUCGAGUCCUGUCACCUCGACCA